GACAGAGGGUGCAAACGUUGUUCGGAAUUACUGGGCGUAAAGCGCGUGUAGGCGGUUUGGAAAGUCGGAUGUGAAAGCCCCGGGCUCAACCCGGGAAGUGCACUCGAUACUCCCAAGCUAGAGUAUCGGAGAGGUUGGCGGAAUUCUCGGUGUAGAGGUGAAAUUCGUAGAUAUCGAGAGGAACACCGGCGGCGAAGGCGGCCAACUGGACGAAUACUGACGCUGAGACUCGAAAGCGUGGGGAGCAAACAGG
RNAcentral lists this ribosomal RNA (253 nucleotides) under uncultured bacterium. Its description in RNAcentral is "partial 16S ribosomal RNA". It matches the Rfam family "Bacterial small subunit ribosomal RNA", at positions 524 to 776 of the family's 1533-position model. The record is from RNAcentral.